CGUCGGUCCUGGAGAGCUGCAGCCCUGCAGAGUUUUGCUUCAACCCUUAUCAAACACACCUGAAAAAGCUAAUCAAUUACUAGAAAGCUACAGGCAGGUGAGUUUUAAUGAGGGUUGGUGCUGAACUCUGCAGGGCUCUCCAGGACCAGAGUUCCCCACCCCUGGUAUAUAAUAUAGAUUUAUGUUAUAUAAAUGUCUAAUACUUAUACUUCCAUUGAAGAUGAGACAGAAGCAGGCUCAGAGAGUGAGGGAGAGCUCACUGAGCAUCAGCCAAAUCAGACAAGUACAGUUAAAACCCAACUGUUGUUGGGUCAAAUAUGGUUCCCGCUUCACUCCGGUUCAAAUUUUAACGGUCCAGUCAGCGACUCCGCGGACAUCAGCGGUAGCCUGCUUGAUUAUGAAAGGUAUGUAACUGUUAAUAUAAUUUUAUGAUGUAUAUAACUGUUAUAACAUUAAGUAAUGUGUACUGAAACGUUAAUUAAAUCGUAAAACUAUUUAAAAAACGAAGUUUUAAUUCCUUUAAGUCAGUUUUUUU
Molecule: long non-coding RNA, 535 nt
Organism: Cyprinus carpio carpio
Lineage: Eukaryota; Metazoa; Chordata; Actinopteri; Cypriniformes; Cyprinidae
Source: Ensembl